RNAcentral lists this ribosomal RNA (253 nucleotides) under uncultured bacterium. RNAcentral's name for it is "partial 16S ribosomal RNA". It matches the Rfam family "Bacterial small subunit ribosomal RNA", at positions 524 to 776 of the family's 1533-position model. The record is from RNAcentral.
GACGAGCCACACGAACGUUAUUCGGAAUUACUGGGCUUAAAGGGUGCGUAGGCUGCGCGGAAAGUUGGGUGUGAAAUCCCUCGGCUCAACCGAGGAACUGCGCCCAAAACUGCCGUGCUCGAGGAAGAUAGAGGUAAGCGGAACUUACGGUGGAGCGGUGAAAUGCGUUGAUAUCGUAAGGAACACCUGUGGCGAAGGCGGCUCACUGGCCCGAUACUGACGCUGAGGCACGAAAGCGUGGGGAGCAAACAGG